RNAcentral lists this transfer RNA (73 nucleotides) under Patescibacteria group bacterium. Its description in RNAcentral is "tRNA-Pro". It matches the Rfam family "tRNA". Rfam says of the family: Transfer RNA (tRNA) molecules are approximately 80 nucleotides in length. Their secondary structure includes four short double-helical elements and three loops (D, anti-codon, and T loops). The record is from RNAcentral.
CGGGGUAUGGUGUAACGGCUAACAUGCUUGCUUUGGGAGCAAGAGAUUCUGGGUUCGAAUCCCAGUACCCCGA